Raphanus sativus (radish) is the source of this 546-nucleotide long non-coding RNA. RefSeq lists it as uncharacterized. The record is from RefSeq and is a predicted model, not a curated record. The transcript is spliced from 3 exons. NCBI's taxonomy places the organism in Eukaryota, Viridiplantae, Streptophyta, Magnoliopsida, Brassicales, Brassicaceae.
GCUUUAUCUAUCACGUUAUCUUCAUGUCCUAGCCCAGCUGUGCACAUCGUUCACCACAGACUCUAAUAUACAGUUUUUUGUUUUCUUCGCGACGCUUCUUUGUCUACGGCGAAGACGAUUGGGAUUCGUUUUGUUUCCGUUACUGAAAUCGGAUCUGAGAAUCGGUCCAUUCCGUUUCAUGACUGUUAAUAAUUGCGUUCUUCAGUCGGCUAAUCCGUGUAUAAAUAGGCAAGCAUCAGUGCUAAUCGGCUCCCACGGUUCCAGGAGAGACUCACUGCCGGAUCAAUGUUCUCCAUAUCCGGAUUUGACGGCUUGCAGAUUCUUCUUUCCUCAUCCGGUUCAAUGAGUCCACUUCAUUUGAAGAGAUAUUUGAGCCAGUCUCACCCUUGCCCAAAGAAGGUUUCCGGUUCCAUAACCAGUCGGAACUGUUUGGUUUGGCUAACACAAACAGCCAGCUACCAGAUGUCAUAGGAGAGGUUCUUGGAGCACUGUUACUGAUCCUCCGGAGGAGAAGAAUCGGGUCAUGGUGACAAUGAAAUUGGAUAG